UACGUAGGGUGCGAGCGUUGUCCGGAUUUAUUGGGCGUAAAGGGCUCGUAGGCGGUCUGUCGCGUCUGCCGUGAAAACCCGAGGCUUAACCUCGGGCUGGCGGUGGAUACGGGCAGACUAGAGGUAGGUAGGGGAGAAUGGAAUUCCCGGUGUAGCGGUGAAAUGCGCAGAUAUCGGGAGGAACACCGGUGGCGAAGGCGGUUCUCUGGGCCUUACCUGACGCUGAGAAGCGAAAGCGUGGGGAGCGAACAGG
This 253-nucleotide ribosomal RNA is filed under the name uncultured bacterium. RNAcentral describes it as "partial 16S ribosomal RNA". It matches the Rfam family "Bacterial small subunit ribosomal RNA", at positions 524 to 776 of the family's 1533-position model. The record is from RNAcentral.